GAUGAAGAACGCAGCGAAAUGCGAUAAGUAGUGUGAAUUGCAGAAUUCAGUGAAUCAUCGAAUCUUUGAACGCACAUUGUGCCCCUUGGUAUUCCAUGGGGCAUGCCUGUUCGAGCGUCAUUUGUACCUUCAAGCUUUGCUUGGUGUUGGGUGUUUGUCCUGAGGGACUCGCCUUAAAGUGAUUGGCAGCCAGUGUUUGGUUUUGAAGCGCAGCACAAGUCGCGAUUCAAAGCUAUACGCCCGCUUCCACAAGCCUUUUUCACUUUUGACCUCGGAUCAGGUAGGGAUACCCGCUGAACUUAAGCAUAUCAAUAAGCGGAGGA
Molecule: unclassified non-coding RNA, 323 nt
Filed under: soil metagenome
Description: partial contains 5.8S ribosomal RNA, internal transcribed spacer 2, and large subunit ribosomal RNA
Rfam family: 5.8S ribosomal RNA (bases 1-120)
Source: RNAcentral